GUGUUUGCUUUGGCAACACAUAUGCUAAAACUGGAACAAUACAGAGACAUUUAGCAUGGCCCCUGCACAAGGAUGACACACAAAUUUGUGAGGCUUUCCAUACUUUU
Molecule: small nuclear RNA, 107 nt
Organism: Hippopotamus amphibius kiboko
Lineage: Eukaryota; Metazoa; Chordata; Mammalia; Artiodactyla; Hippopotamidae
Source: RefSeq, a predicted model, not a curated record